RNAcentral lists this unclassified non-coding RNA (350 nucleotides) under soil metagenome. RNAcentral describes it as "partial contains 5.8S ribosomal RNA, internal transcribed spacer 2, and large subunit ribosomal RNA". The stretch from base 1 to 120 matches the Rfam family "5.8S ribosomal RNA", at positions 35 to 154 of the family's 154-position model. The record is from RNAcentral.
GAUGAAGAACGUAGUGAAAUGCGAUAAGUAAUGUGAAUUGCAGAAUUCAGUGAAUCAUCGAAUCUUUGAACGCACAUUGCGCCCGCCAGUAUUCUGGCGGGCAUGCCUGUCCGAGCGUCAUUUCAACCCUCGAACCCCUCCGGGGGGUCGGCGUUGGGGAUCGGCCCUUUACGGGGCCGGCCCCGAAAUACAGUGGCGGUCUCGCCGCAGCCUCUCCUGCGCAGUAGUUUGCACACUCGCAUCGGGAGCGCGGCGCGUCCACAGCCGUUAAACACCCCAAACUUCUGAAAUGUUGACCUCGGAUCAGGUGGGAAUACCCGCUGAACUUAAGCAUAUCAAUAAGCGGAGGA